Molecule: ribosomal RNA, 337 nt
Filed under: uncultured eukaryote
Lineage: Eukaryota
Description: partial 18S ribosomal RNA
Rfam family: Eukaryotic small subunit ribosomal RNA
Source: RNAcentral
CAAUAGCGUAUAUUAAAGUUGUUGCAGUUAAAAAGCUCGUAGUUGAAUUUCUGGGUCCACCGGUUGCCGACUUCGGUCGUGCUUCCCGCGGAUUCAUCCUCGCCCCUCGGGGCGUCAUUUACUGUGAAAAAAUUAGAGUGUUUAAAGCAGGCUUAGGCUUGAAUACAUUAGCAUGGAAUAAUAAGAUAGGACCGAGUCGUAUUUUGUUGGUUGCGCGAAACGGUAAUGAUUAAUAGGGACAGUUGGGGGUAUUCAUAUUUAAUUGUCAGAGGUGAAAUUCUAAGAUUUGUUAAAGAUGAACUACUGCGAAAGCAUUUACCAAGGAUGUUUUCAUUAA